UCGGCCUGUGGAUGGACCGCUUCGGUGCGCCGCGGCUGAUGGCCGCGGGCAGCCUGCUGGUCGGGCUGCUGCUCGGCGCGCUGGCCGCCGCGCCCGGC
Molecule: transfer RNA, 98 nt
Filed under: Roseomonas sp. CECT 9278
Lineage: Bacteria; Pseudomonadati; Pseudomonadota; Alphaproteobacteria; Acetobacterales; Roseomonadaceae
Description: tRNA-Ile
Source: RNAcentral